This 793-nucleotide long non-coding RNA is filed under the name Equus caballus (horse). Its description in RNAcentral is "lncRNA (ENSECAG00000029017.3)". Lineage: Eukaryota; Metazoa; Chordata; Mammalia; Perissodactyla; Equidae. The record is from RNAcentral.
UUUGAAAAUAGUUGGGUCAGAAGAAGAAAAUAGAAAAGGUGUUUCUUUGAAUUAAAGAAAUACAAAAGUUAUACCAAAUGGAAGUUUUUUAGAGCAGUGGUUCUUAACAUUUAUUGUAAAUCUCUAGACAUCACAAAUAGAAGUGGAAUGGGAAGAACGCCUUUCCCCUGUCUUUUUACUAAGUUCUACAGAAUAUUCUGGUACAGAUCAAAAUUUGAGGAGCAUUGAAUUAGAGGGAAAAUGCUGUACAAAUAAUAAAAUAAAUACAUUUACUCCUACAUAGUUUUGUUUAUAAUAAGGAUUAUAACUUCUGAGGAUGUAUUUGAUAACAGCAGAAAAGCAGCCUGAUACUACGUACUCAUGUAUAAUCCUUCACAUUAAAAAGAAAUCAAAGUAUUGAAGAACAGCUGAAAAUGUUUUUGCAAAGCUCUCUGGGGAUGAGGGAGAGUUAAAGUGGUAUCUCUAUGCUAUUUGAUGCCAAUAUUUCACGCUCUGGGAAGAAAAAGUUUUCCCUGUGAAUCAGCACCAGCAUUGACCCAAGAAGCCUCCAACCUUCUUCCAGACUAAAACUACAUCCACUUGUACAGAGAAAGACAGAGCAUCAGUCACCAGCCAUCCCCAAUAAUCACAAUGAAAACCAACCUAUGGGAUGAAGGUUGGAUCUGUUACAACUAGUCGUUAAGACCUAAAUUCCUUAUGAUUGUGAUCAAUGUUUAUCAUUUUCAAUCACUCUUUCCUCUUCUCUCACAUGUAUACUAUUAGUGAAGAACUCUUGCCUACGCAAAAAUAAAAC